CCUGCGUGGAGGACCAGGCAGUGAACAGCACAGGCCUGAGCCCAUCCUUGUCCAUGUGAGCUUAUAGCCUGAUGCAGAGACCACCAGGGGCUCCAGGAAAGUUAAGCUGCAUGGAGAGAAAUGAUGGGCCAGGGCUGGGCCCAGGGUGGUUUAGGGAAUGGCAGUGUCCUGGGUAGAAUAGGAAGGCCCGAGACUGACUGAGCUGACGGCGGGGCAAAGUGAAGGAGCCCAGUAUUGGAAGAUCGGCUCCAAAUGUCUCUCUGCGAGGAGACUGCAAGCGACCUCGUGUGUGAAGGGCCAGGCAGAGGCGAGGGCUGAGUGAGGCCAGCAGUGGCCUGGGCACAGGAAGACGGACAUUUCAUAUAUAUGGAUUUCACAGCUAAACUCAAUCCACGCCCCGCACCACAUACAGGCUGCUGUCUCCCACAAGAAUGAUGUCAGGGGCAUUGGGAAAGCAGGAGGGGAGAGAUCUGCUCCACACGCAGGCGGCCUUGGCUGCUCCAAAGCAAUCCGCUGCUCCAGCUUCAGCCAUGGGACCAAGAGGGUAGAGGAGCAGCUUCCGGAGGCCCCAGGCAGAGGCCACCUUGCAGCAGUGACUGGCGACUUUGCGGUGCAUCUCUGCUCACUUGCCGCCCCUUGGGAGUGAGCACCGUCUAUAACACAUCGCCAUCUACAAAAGCCUGGCCACAGUGUCCACCAGCACAUUCAUGAAAAAACAUUUAAAUCAACAUUAACCAAAGUACCUGCAAGGAACACUGCUUACUCUUGCUGUUUGCCCUAUCUGACUGGAAACCU
RNAcentral lists this non-coding RNA (795 nucleotides) under Pongo abelii (Sumatran orangutan). The record is from RNAcentral. Lineage: Eukaryota; Metazoa; Chordata; Mammalia; Primates; Hominidae.